RNAcentral lists this ribosomal RNA (439 nucleotides) under uncultured bacterium. Its description in RNAcentral is "bacterial SSU rRNA". It matches the Rfam family "Bacterial small subunit ribosomal RNA", at positions 959 to 1397 of the family's 1533-position model. The record is from RNAcentral.
ACGCGAGGAACCUUACCAGGUCUUGACAUCCCACUGCCCGGUAUAGAGAUAUACCUUUCCCUUCGGGGACAGUGGUGACAGGUGGUGCAUGGUUGUCGUCAGCUCGUGUCGUGAGAUGUUGGGUUAAGUCCCGCAACGAGCGCAACCCUUGAUCUUAGUUGCCAGCAUUUAGUUGGGCACUCUAAGAUGACUGCCGGUGACAAACCGGAGGAAGGUGGGGAUGACGUCAAAUCAUCAUGCCCCUUAUGACCUGGGCUACACACGUGCUACAAUGGAUGGUACAAAGGGCUGCGAGACUGCGAAGUUAAGCGAAUCCCAUAAAACCAUUCUCAGUUCGGAUUGCAGGCUGCAACUCGCCUGCAUGAAGCUGGAAUCGCUAGUAAUCGCGGAUCAGCAUGCCGCGGUGAAUACGUUCCCGGGCCUUGCACACACCGCCCGU